UGUUCUGGACUUAGUACUGUGACGAAAGC
Molecule: non-coding RNA, 29 nt
Filed under: Rattus norvegicus (Norway rat)
Lineage: Eukaryota; Metazoa; Chordata; Mammalia; Rodentia; Muridae
Source: RNAcentral